GAAACAGAGCACAAGCAAAAAUCAGUAACCAGAACGGCACUGGACUUCAGAAAAUAAAAAGCAGUGAGGCAAAGACUUUAAAAAUUAGAGAGAAUCCGACUCCAACACGGAAUUCUAGACUGGCAAGAUUUGCAAUUAAAUAUCGGGAAUGCAAAAGUUUUUUUUUUUUUUUAAAGCUAACACAUCUUUCUCUUUGUUUUUUCUCCUUCCAGAAAGCAACUAAAACAUGUACUCCUAAAAAAUAAAUAGGGAUUCAAGAAAAUGAAAGCUCGAGGACUCAAGAAGCGGCGAAAGGGGAUGGAGAGAAUUCCUAGAAUGGUGACAAAGGGAAGGCUGGAGAAAAGGCGGCAGUGGAAGAAGAGAAGGAGGUGGCAAGCAGUGGGCGAGGCUGCUCUGAGAAGAAGAGAGGAAGGUGAGGAUGGCUGCGACAACACGGAGGAAAACAACCCGGAUUUGCCGAACGUGUUCCUGGCAGCGCAGUUUCACACACAGCAGCUGUGAACUGGAGACUGGCACUUGCCAUGCACCUCUACGUGGACUGAAUCAUGAGCUGAUGCAGCUACUGGCCCUCACUAGCCCCUGAAAGGAGCUCCGGGUGGAGAUCAGGAGUGAGGCCCUCUGCGCUCUGGGAAAACUGGAAGAACAGGUCUUCAGAUGGUUAGAUCUCUUCAGAGACAAUUUUAUGAGCCCACUUCUUGCAUCUCCUCUUAUCUAGAAAUGCACUAAAAUCCUUCAUGGUAACAUCUACUCCUCCUGACUAGCAGUAACCUUCAUGAGAUCAGCAGCAAGCUUCUGCAAAAUGUGUGCAAGGCUGCAUGCACCUCCCUCCCCUUCACCAAAAUCACAUAUAUACUGACCUUACCCCCCACCUCUUUGGAGGAGUAUUUCAGAGCUUUCUGAAAUGCUGCCUCCCAGGCUAUAGUGCUCAUUUUGCUCCAAAUAAAACUUAAUUCACAACUCUCA
RNAcentral lists this long non-coding RNA (963 nucleotides) under Sus scrofa (pig). RNAcentral describes it as "lncRNA (ENSSSCG00035049274.1)". The record is from RNAcentral. Lineage: Eukaryota; Metazoa; Chordata; Mammalia; Artiodactyla; Suidae.